Molecule: ribosomal RNA, 468 nt
Filed under: uncultured bacterium
Lineage: Bacteria
Description: partial 16S ribosomal RNA
Rfam family: Bacterial small subunit ribosomal RNA
Source: RNAcentral
GACGAACGCUGGCGGCGUGCUUAACACAUGCAAGUCGAACGGCAAGGCCCUGCUUUUGUGGGGUGCUCGAGUGGCGAACGGGUGAGUAACACGUGAGUAACCUGCCCUUGACUUUGGGAUAACUUCAGGAAACUGGGGCUAAUACCGGAUAGGAGCUCCUGCUGCAUGGUGGGGGUUGGAAAGUUUCGGCGGUUGGGGAUGGACUCGCGGCUUAUCAGCUUGUUGGUGGGGUAGUGGCUUACCAAGGCUUUGACGGGUAGCCGGCCUGAGAGGGUGACCGGCCACAUUGGGACUGAGAUACGGCCCAGACUCCUACGGGAGGCAGCAGUGGGGAAUAUGGCACAAUGGGCGGAAGCCUGAUGCAGCAACGCCGCGUGCGGGAUGACGGCCUUCUGGUUGUAAACCGCUUUCGCCUGUGACGAAGCGUGAGUGACGGUAAUGGGUAAAGAAGCACCGGCUAACUACGUG